ACGCUGGCGGCGUGCCUAACACAUGCAAGUCGAGCGGUAACAGGUGUAGCAAUACGUGCUGACGAGCGGCGAACGGGUGAGUAAUGCUUCGGAAUCUGCCCAAUGGUGGGGAAUAACCAGCCGAAAGGUUGGCUAAUACCGCAUAAGUCCUACGGGGGAAAGCAGGGGAUCGCAAGACCUUGCGCCGAUGGAUGAGCCGAAGUCGGAUUAGCUAGUUGGUAGGGUAACGGCCUACCAAGGCGACGAUCCGUAGCUGGUCUGAGAGGACGACCAGCCACACUGGGACUGAGACACGGCCCAGACUCCUACGGGAGGCAGCAGUGGGGAAUAUUGGACAAUGGGGGAAACCCUGAUCCAGCGACGCCGCGUGUGUGAAGAAGGCCUGCGGGUUGUAAAGCACUUUUAGUGGGGAUGAAAAGCUCAGGGCUAACACCUCUGGGUCUUGACCUAACCCAAAGAAAAAGCACCGGCCAACUCUGUGCCAGCAGCCGCGGUAAUACAGAGGGUGCGAGCGUUAAUCGGAAUUACUGGGCGUAAAGCGUGCGUAGACGGUUAUGUAAGUCGGGUGUGAAAGCCCCGGGCUCAACCUGGGAAU
Molecule: ribosomal RNA, 595 nt
Filed under: uncultured bacterium
Lineage: Bacteria
Description: bacterial SSU rRNA
Rfam family: Bacterial small subunit ribosomal RNA
Source: RNAcentral